RNAcentral lists this ribosomal RNA (252 nucleotides) under uncultured bacterium. Its description in RNAcentral is "partial 16S ribosomal RNA". It matches the Rfam family "Bacterial small subunit ribosomal RNA", at positions 524 to 775 of the family's 1533-position model. The record is from RNAcentral.
UACGGAGGGGGCUAGCGUUGUUCGGAAUUACUGGGCGUAAAGCGCACGUAGGCGGCUUUGUAAGUUAGAGGUGAAAGCCCAGGGCUUAACCCUGGAAUUGCCUUUAAGACUGCAUCGCUAGAAUUGUGGAGAGGUAAGUGGAAUUCCGAGUGUAGAGGUGAAAUUCGUAGAUAUUCGGAAGAACACCAGUGGCGAAGGCGACUUACUGGACACAUAUUGACGCUGAGGUGCGAAAGCGUGGGGAGCAACAGG